This 600-nucleotide ribosomal RNA is filed under the name uncultured bacterium. RNAcentral describes it as "bacterial SSU rRNA". It matches the Rfam family "Bacterial small subunit ribosomal RNA", at positions 83 to 679 of the family's 1533-position model. The record is from RNAcentral.
CUACCUGAUUCAGCGGCGGACGGGUGAGUAAUGCCUAGGAAUCUGCCCGAUAGUGGGGGACAACGUUUCGAAAGGAACGCUAAUACCGCAUACGUCCUACGGGAGAAAGUGGGGGAUCUUCGGACCUCACGCUAUCGGAUGAGCCUAGGUCGGAUUAGCUAGUUGGUGAGGUAAUGGCUCACCAAGGCGACGACCCGUAACUGGUCUGAGAGGAUGAUCAGUCACACUGGAACUGAGACACGGUCCAGACUCCUACGGGAGGCAGCAGUGGGGAAUAUUGGACAAUGGGCGAAAGCCUGAUCCAGCCAUGCCGCGUGUGUGAAGAAGGUCUUCGGAUUGUAAAGCACUUUAAGUUGGGAGGAAGGGCAGUAAGCUAAUACCUUGCUGUUUUGACGUUACCAACAGAAUAAGCACCGGCUAACUUCGUGCCAGCAGCCGCGGUAAUACGAAGGGUGCAAGCGUUAAUCGGAAUUACUGGGCGUAAAGCGCGCGUAGGUGGUUCAGCAAGUUGGAUGUGAAAUCCCCGGGCUCAACCUGGGAACUGCAUCCAAAACUACUGAGCUAGAGUACGGUAGAGGGUGGUGGAAUUUCCUGUGUAGC